Poecilia latipinna (sailfin molly) is the source of this 255-nucleotide long non-coding RNA. RefSeq lists it as uncharacterized. Lineage: Eukaryota; Metazoa; Chordata; Actinopteri; Cyprinodontiformes; Poeciliidae. The record is from RefSeq and is a predicted model, not a curated record. The transcript has 2 exons.
UUUUUACAAUGACAAUAUCAUGAAAUCAACUGCAGCCAAUGUCUUUCAGAAGUUAUGUAAUUAUUAAGAUUAGACGAAGCUGUCUAAAGGUGUGAAAGACAAAAGAACACAUUACAGACAUGAAGCUUGUGCAAAAUAUCCUAAGCUACAAAUAUCUCACAGAUAACUGUUGAAUUGUCUAAAAAAAAAAAUGUGUGGAGUUUGGAAGAUCUGCUGCAAAAUAUGGCCACCCACCUUAAAUAAAUGUAAUUUAAA